GGUAGUAGCUCAGUGGAAGAGCAUUUGCCCUCGCACACACAUGGCUCUGGGUUCAAACCCCAGUACCA
Molecule: transfer RNA, 68 nt
Filed under: Marmota monax (woodchuck)
Lineage: Eukaryota; Metazoa; Chordata; Mammalia; Rodentia; Sciuridae
Description: tRNA.Undet
Source: RNAcentral